Molecule: long non-coding RNA, 899 nt
Organism: Helianthus annuus (common sunflower)
Lineage: Eukaryota; Viridiplantae; Streptophyta; Magnoliopsida; Asterales; Asteraceae
Exons: 3
Source: RefSeq, a predicted model, not a curated record
CACCCCAAAACUACUCCCUGGUCGACCAGAGAAGAACCCAGGGGCGACACCCACCUUCCAAACCCUAGAUUUCACCUAAAGCUCACAAAUUGGAGCCCUUAAUCUGCUCUAAAUCAAGUUUCAAACACGGAUUAGUGAUCACCUCGUUGCGGGGAUCAAAAGUUUGACGCUUGACAAGCUAGGUGGGAGCUUGUGGAUGAAGCGGGUCAAACGGAUCAAGAACGGAAGGAAAAGCAUGGCAUGGAUGCGAGGUAAGUAAAGCUUACACCCAUUUGUCGUAAACGUAUGUAUUUUAUAGAUGAUAAAUGUGACAACCGAUUACAUUCGAAAUUGAAGUUCCGACACUAAGCGAUAUGAGUCGGAACGAAUAAAAAAAUGAUCAAAACCAUGGUUAAUGGUAAAAUGGACAAAAGGGUAAUUUAGUCGUGAAUCGACUAAGAAUUUAUAAGAUUUCUUUAAGGUUACCUUAUAGCGAAACUAGUAAUGGGAAAAAGGGUAAAUUAGUCACAUGUUGACUAUAUGUAAGUUGGGAUUAAAAGGAUACCCAUGGUGUAAGCCAUAACGAGUUAAAUACGUAAGAAGAAUGGUCUUGUAGUUAAAACUUGAAAUGGGUCGGAUGUGUGAAUGGGAUAUUAAAAGCCAUGUUUUGACAUAAGUAUAAAUGUUUGGUCUUAAAUACCAAAUGGGUCAAAUGGUGGUGAUGACACCAUUUGACAAUAUCGACUAAUGUUUGGUUGUUAAGUUAAAUGUUCACAGGAGUGAACGGGAUGUGGAUUAUUGCGUCGCUAUAAAGUAGCGGCUAAUAAAAGAAAGGUACAAAACGGGUCUAUAUGUUGACUCGAGCCAGGUGAAUGCCAAGAGUGCCCGGAUGAAGAUCAAACUCGAUGAGGAACCGAACA